Molecule: ribosomal RNA, 489 nt
Filed under: uncultured bacterium
Lineage: Bacteria
Description: partial 16S ribosomal RNA
Rfam family: Bacterial small subunit ribosomal RNA
Source: RNAcentral
GAUGAACGCUAGCGGCAGGCUUAAUACAUGCAAGUCGAGGGGCAGCAGGACUGUAGCAAUACAGUUGCUGGCGACCGGCAAACGGGUGCGGAACACGUACGCAACCUACCCAAAACUGGGGGAUAGCCCGGGGAAACCCGGAUUAAUACCUCGUAACCUUUUUAAGUGGCAUCACUUGAUAAGUAUAGCUCUGGCGGAUUUGGAUGGGCGUGCGCGUGAUUAGGUAGUUGGUGCGGGUAACGGCACAACAAGCCUGCGCUCAGUAACUGGUGUGAGAGCACGACCAGUUAGACGGGCACUAGGACACGGGCCCGACUGCUACGGGAGGCAGCAGUAAGGAAUAUAGGGCAAUGGACGCUAGUCCGAACCAGCCAUGCCGGGUGAAGGAUGAAUGUCCUCUGGAUUGUAAACUUCUGUUAUAGAAGACGAAACCCGGAUAUUCUUAUCCGAUUGACGGUACCUCAGGAAUAAGCACCGGCUAACUCCGUG